UGAGGAAUAUUGGUCAAUGGGCGCAAGCCUGAACCAGCCAUCCCGCGUGCAGGAAGACGGCCCUAUGGGUUGUAAACUGCUUUUUCAGGGGGAGAAUUUUUCUGUCGUGACAGGAAUUGACGGUACCCUGGGAAUAAGCAUCGGCUAACUCCGUGCCAGCAGCCGCGGUAAUACGGAGGAUGCGAGCGUUAUCCGGAUUUAUGGGUUUAAAGGUGCGUAGGCGGACUGAUAAGUCAGUGGUGAAACCUGCAGCUUAACUGUAGACUUGCCGUUGAUACUGUCAGUCUUGAGUAUGGUCAAGGCAGGCGAAUGUGUAAUGUAGCGGUGAAAUGCUUAGAUAUUACACAGACACCGAUUGCGAAGGCAGCUUGCUGGGCCACGACUGACGCUGAUGCACGAA
RNAcentral lists this ribosomal RNA (400 nucleotides) under uncultured bacterium. RNAcentral's name for it is "bacterial SSU rRNA". It matches the Rfam family "Bacterial small subunit ribosomal RNA", at positions 355 to 757 of the family's 1533-position model. The record is from RNAcentral.